CUCAGUGGUCUAGAAGUAUGAUUCUCGCUUUGGGUGCGAGAGGUCCCGGGCUCAAAUCCCGGCUGAG
Molecule: transfer RNA, 67 nt
Filed under: Rodentolepis nana
Lineage: Eukaryota; Metazoa; Platyhelminthes; Cestoda; Cyclophyllidea; Hymenolepididae
Description: Hymenolepis nana tRNA
Rfam family: tRNA
About the family: Transfer RNA (tRNA) molecules are approximately 80 nucleotides in length. Their secondary structure includes four short double-helical elements and three loops (D, anti-codon, and T loops).
Source: Rfam by way of RNAcentral